RNAcentral lists this ribosomal RNA (270 nucleotides) under uncultured Funneliformis. RNAcentral describes it as "partial 28S ribosomal RNA". The record is from RNAcentral. Lineage: Eukaryota; Fungi; Glomeromycota; Glomeromycetes; Glomerales; Glomeraceae.
CCUUCGGAUUUUCGAGAUUGGGCUCUUCUGGUAUACUUUCUCGUACGGUUAGUCAACAUCGGUUUUGAAAUGUCAUGAAAUGACUGGAGGAAUGUGGCUUCGAUCUCGUAUUGAAGUGUUAUAGCCUUUGGUAGAUGUGAUGUUCGAGACCGAGGAUUGCAACGGAUACCCUUCUGGGCUAUUCGUCUGAUCUCUGAAACGUUGCCUUGAUGUCGAAAGCUUGCUUAUGAUGUUAAGGAUAUUACGGUCAAAAGGUUAGAACGGAUUAAA